AAGUCGUACGGAGAGUGGGGCAACUCACUCUCAGUGGCAAACGGGUGAGUAACGCGUGAAUAACCUGCCUUUGAGAAGGGGAUAACUGUCCGAAAGGAUAGCUAAUACCCUAUAUUGCCUUUUGUCACUAAGGCAAAAGGUGAAAGCGAGGCUGUCAAAGGCUUCGGCUCAAAGAGGGGUUCGCGUCCUAUCAGGUAGUUGGUGGGGUAAUGGCCUACCAAGCCAAUGACGGGUAGCUGGUCUUAGAGGAUGAUCAGCUACAGUGGGACUGAGACACGGCCCGCACCCCUACGGGGGGCAGCAGUGGGGAAUCGUGGGCAAUGGGCGCAAGCCUGACCCCGCAAUGCCGCGUGAGGGAAGAAGCCCUUCGGGGUGUAAACCUCUGUCAGAUGGGAAGAU
This 399-nucleotide ribosomal RNA is filed under the name uncultured bacterium. RNAcentral describes it as "bacterial SSU rRNA". It matches the Rfam family "Bacterial small subunit ribosomal RNA", at positions 59 to 449 of the family's 1533-position model. The record is from RNAcentral.